Molecule: ribosomal RNA, 497 nt
Filed under: uncultured bacterium
Lineage: Bacteria
Description: partial 16S ribosomal RNA
Rfam family: Bacterial small subunit ribosomal RNA
Source: RNAcentral
GAUGAACGCUGGCGGCGUGCCUAAUACAUGCAAGUCGAGCGAACGGACGAGAAGCUUGCUUCUCUGAUGUUAGCGGCGGACGGGUGAGUAACACGUGGAUAACCUACCUAUAAGACUGGGAUAACUUCGGGAAACCGGAGCUAAUACCGGAUGAUAUUUUGAACCGCAUGGUUCAAAAGUGAAAGACGGUCUUGCUGUCACUUAUAGAUGGAUCCGCGCUGCAUUAGCUAGUUGGUAAGGUAACGGCUUACCAAGGCAACGAUGCAUAGCCGAACUGAGAGGGUGAUCGGCCACACUGGAGCGGAGACGCGGUCCAGACUCCUGCGGGAGGCAGCAGUAGGGAAUCUUACGCAAUGGGCGAAAGCCUGACGGAGCAACGCCGCGUGAGUGAUGAAGGUCUUCGGAUCGUAAAACUCUGUUAUUAGGGAAGAACAUAUGUGUAAGUAACUGUGCACAUCUUGACGGUACCUAAUCAGAAAGCCACGGCUAACUACGUG